UGGGGAAUAUUGCACAAUGGGCGCAAGCCUGAUGCAGCCAUGCUGCGUGUAUGAAGAAGGCCUUCGGGUUGUAAAGUACUUUCAGCGAGGAGGAAGGCGUUGUGGUUAAUAACCGCAACGAUUGACGUUACUCGCAGAAGAAGCACCGGCUAACUCCGUGCCAGCAGCCGCGGUAAUACGGAGGGUGCAAGCGUUAAUCGGAAUUACUGGGCGUAAAGCGCACGCAGGCGGUCUGUCAAGUCGGAUGUGAAAUCCCCGGGCUCAACCUGGGAACUGCAUCCGAAACUGGCAGGCUAGAGUCUUGUAGAGGGGGGUAGAAUUCCAGGUGUAGCGGUGAAAUGCGUAGAGAUCUGGAGGAAUACCGGUGGCGAAGGCGGCCCCCUGGACAAAGACUGACGCUCAGGUGCGAAAGCGUGGGGAGCAAACA
Molecule: ribosomal RNA, 427 nt
Filed under: uncultured bacterium
Lineage: Bacteria
Description: partial 16S ribosomal RNA
Rfam family: Bacterial small subunit ribosomal RNA
Source: RNAcentral